GAUAAUAUUGCUGAUGAUGACCCUAUUCUUAUAGCUGAAACUUGUGUUUUUUCUUUAGAAAGAAGCCCCGUCAGAAGAAUGAAAAAUGACCACAUGGUUAUCUGCAUCUUCAUGUAUACUGGUAUGUAUUACUGCCUCAUUCUCUGGUUGAAUCAUAUCGUAUGAUGGCACAAAAUUCUGCAAACAUCAUUAUCCUUUUGAAAUAGGACCUGCUAAGGCUUCCCCACUUCUCGACAAACGAAAAAAGUAAUAACUUUACAAGUGGGAUCCAUAUUGUGAUUUUUAAAUGUUUUGGUCCAGCAUCUUAAUGACUGAUUUGGUACAUACAUUCACUAUCUAGUGGAUGUGUGUGGAUGGUUUCUCUUCACUUAUCUUUUUUGUAUUUUUUGUUUGGUUUUUCAUCCUAUGUGAAUGAGAAAAGUUAUUUGGAUCAAACCUAUCUUUUUAUGGCUCAUUACUCAUGUUUUAUAUCGUUUAAAGAUCUAAUUUUAGGUUUGGUCUGUUUGUGAUACUAGAAGAGAGACUAGAGGGAGAAGAUCAUAUGAGAAAAUUUCCUUUUAUCUGCAGAUUUUUUGUACUUUCAGUUAAAUUUAAUUUGCAUUUUCGAUUCAUCAUUGUUGGAUCGAUCUGGUCUUUUUAUGUGGAGUUUCUAACGUCCUAUUCUUAAUUUGAAUAGUGGAGAUAGUGAUUGUAUCUACUGUUUCCCUUUCCAUGCCUCAUUUGAUAUGUUUUACUUGAGCCGAGGUAUCUGUUGGAAACAAUCUCUCUAACUUCACAAGGUAGGGUGAGGUUGCGUACACCCCACCCUCCUCAAACCCCACUUGUGAGAUUAUAUGCUUAUGUUGUUGUCGUUGAGAUCGUGAUUGUAGCUGCAAAAUUUUGUUUUAAGAAAUAGACGGCUUUGUCUUCAAGCCAUCAAUAAAAUUAAGCUAAUAUGUGAUUAUGAUUGUACAUUGAUGCUUUAGUCCUCUUUACUAUCGGCAAGCUAAUACACGAUUAUGAUAUUUAGUGCAUUGAUGCAUAAGUCUUCAUUUAUUUAUAGUUUGCUAAUAUGUGAUUAUGAUAUAUAGACAUUGAUGCAAAAGUCUUCUUCACUUUAUAGUGAGCUAAUAUGUGAUUAUAUAUAUAGUGAUUGAUGCAGAAGUCUUCUUUAUUUUACGUCGAGCUAAUAUAUGAUUAUGAUAUAUAGUACAUUAUAUUGAUGCAUAAGCUUUCUUUACUUUAUGUCGAGCUAAUAUGUGAUUAUGAUAUAUAGUGAGUCGUCUCUGAUUAUGAUAUACAGUGAGUCUUCUUUAUUUUAUGUAAAGCUAAUAGUAUGUGAUUAAGAUGUAUAGUAACAUUGAUGUAUAAAUUUUCUUUUAUUUUACAGCUUUUUGAUUAUUUUGUGUGGUGGCUACACUAGUCCCUACAAGUCUUACUAUAGUCCAUUCUAUAUAAUGGUCGAUUGUCCCCUCCAUUAUUGGCUCAAUUCACUAGAUUCAAAAUAUAACAUACGUGUUCACAGGAAUCAAUUAUUUAUAUUAAUGAUUCUUCUAAAUGUCUACAAAUAUUUAACUAUGAACUUAAUUUUUAUUAGUAUAUUACUUGAAGUUGUAUUUAACUAUGAACUCAAAUUUCAUUACUAUUAUAUUACUUGAAGUUGUUGUAGAAACUAAUAAAUUUUAAAUUUUGGAUUUGGCACUCCAUAAAUGCUAAAAGUCAAUAACGACCAGUUUUAAUUAUUGGUAUUAAAGGGUUUUAGCAUAAAGUAGUAUUGUUGUACUCAAUAGCCUAUUGGGUCCCUAUUUUUUUGUGCUGACAUACUUUUUGUGAGCACAUUUUGUGGUUCUAAAAAGAUUUAAAGGACAAAAAAUCUGGUAGUUAAAAUCUUUAGAAACAAGAGCAUACACAGUUUAAAAUCUGUUUAUUAAUCUGAAGUAAUUAUCGGAAAAAUAUUUUGAGAGAGUAAUAGUUUGUAUUUGACUAAUCAAUUAGAACAAUAUUUUUGCCAAUAUUACAGUGAUGAGUUGUGGCCUGAUUGUGAGUGAGUGGAAAAGAGCAAGGAGUAAACACGUAAUUAAGCCGAAAGGAAUUCAACAUCUACUAUAUAUAGAUAUAAAAAAAAAAUAGAACCCCUUGCCCUACUUGGCUCCGCCCGUCCAUGAAUAAACAUGAUGCUUAUAAUAAGACACCUUUUUCUAUUUUGAACUAUAGGAUAAGUAAUUUAAACUCAACUAGGAUUUUGCUAAUUCAGUUUUAUCUUUUUAGAUAUCUAUAAUCUUUAUGGUAGGAAUCAAAUAUUGUAAAUAGUAGUCAUAUAUUAUCCAUUUAAAAUUUCAAGAAGAUAAAUAGUGUAAUUAUUUCCAACAAUAUAUGACUCAUAACAUGAAUUAUUUCCAUCAUAAACCAUAGAAUUUAAGUGCUCCCUCUCAAUUUCAAUUUGUUUGGUUGGUUUUAACGGUCCUACGGAUUUUAAGAAAGUAAAAAAGAUAUGUAGAAUGUAUCAUUGACAUGAGCAAUAGAGCUAUUAGACAAAGUAACUAAUGGAUAUAAGAAUUAGAAACUAAUCUCAUAUUAUCCGAUCAUGUGAUUAGUGGCACGUGAGUCAAGUAUCCAAUAACUCAAUGUGGACGAUUGCUAGCUAACUAGAGAGCCAUACUCCAAAAAAAAAACAUAUCAAAGCAAAUUGAAAAAGAAAUAAUCAACAAAGUGAUUCAAGAAUCAUGAUGAGUUGAGUUAAUGCAAUGUACAAACCAGAUUUACAAACUGAAUCCAUCACUAUAAGCACAUCCAAAUAUGAUUAUCCCAACCAAUGAAGCUAUCAUCCAAAUACCCUACAAAAUGAUAGUAAUAUGACAAUAAAAAGUAAACAAGAAUGACUUAAGACACAUCUGCAGCUGUUUCUUCAAUGGUUCCAGGUAUGAAAUUUCUUCACACUUGUCUUUUUAAUUUCACUCCAAGUCUGAAUUUGUGGGUUGACUCUGUGUGAUUUGAUGUUGACGGGUAAUGGUGAUAGUGGGGUGGGGUGGGGGUGGAAUUCGACUUCCUGAGGUUAUUAAGGCAAUCAGGGAAAAUGGAUGCCUGUAAGGUGUUUGUUUAAGUGUCUGAAUGAAUUCUUUACCUUUGUGAAGGAUAUUUCACUGUCAUGUUGAUUCAAAAUGGUUAGAUAGUUCACUCUGACUAUGGCAUUGCACUUUCUGAUUUAGAAUGUCUAUCAUUGAGAUGUUUCUGGUUAACUGAAACUUCAUGUAGACACGUGGUUAUGAUCACACUGAAUUUGCACUCUUAAGUAUUCAGUCUAGGUUUUGCUUAACUUUGAACCCUUUAGGCUCUAGGGGUCUGUCUCCAACCUCCAACUUAGCAUUAGUUUCCUCGUGAGUCUCGUCAAUCAAAACUACGUCAUCCGCAAAUAACAUACACCUUGACACCUCAGCUUGAAUUUGUCGCGUCAAUACAUCCAUCACCAAGGCACAUGGAAACGGGCUAAGAGUUGAUCCUUGGUGCAACCCUAUUAACAUGGGAAAGUGUUUUGAGUCUCCUCUCACUGCCCUAACUUGAAUCUUGGCUCCAUUGUACAUGUCCUUAAUCGACUUAAUGUACGCCACGGCCCAUAGGUAUACCUCUAGCCUCUAAACAUCUCCAUAGAACCUCCCUGGGGACUUUGUUGUAAGCCUUUUCUAGGUCGAUGAAUACCAAUGCAAGUCAUUCUUCCUAUCCCUAUACUGCUCCGUCAGUCUCCUUACGAGAUGAAUGGAUUCUGUAGUCGAGCAUCCUAACAUAAAUCCAAAUUGGUUCUCAAAAAUUGUCACGAUCCUCCUCACUCUCAUCUCCACCACCCUCUCUCAUACCUUCAUAGUCUGGCUUAGCAGUUUGAUACCCCUAUUGUUGUUGCAAUUUUGAAUAUCACCCUUAUUCUUGUACAAAUAAUCAUACCCCAUCUCCAUGCAUCGGGCAUCUUCGUCAUCUUGAAAACAACACUAAACAACUCAGUAAGCCACUCCAUACCUGCCCUGCCUAUGCUCUUCCAAAAAUCCACCUAAACUUCGUCUGCCAGUCAUUCUACCCUUACGCAACUUAGGAAUAUCAACCUUAACCUCCUCAACUUUUAUAUGCCUAGAAUAAACAUAAUCACUAUUCACGACGCCUCUCUAAGUGCUCCAACUCUCCUAGCACAAUGCCUUAACUAAUGAGUACCUCCUCUACCAGUACUUUGUCAUCAUCAUCCUUGAUACACUUCACUUGGUCAAGGUCACAGGCCCUCCUCUCUCUAGCCUUAGCUAACUUGUAUAACUUCUUAUCCUCAUUUGUGUUCGCUAAUUUUACGUACAAGCGCUCAUUUUUGCUGUAGUAACCGCUAACUCUGUCUCCUUUUAAACCAUCUUAGCUUAUACUUCUCCCUAUUCGUCCACUUCUCCUUCUUGUCUUACUCUCCACCAACUUCGCAUAAGCCAACUUCUUUGGGUCCAAUUUCCCUUGUACUUCUCCAUUCCACCACCAGUCCACUCUAUGCCCACCAGAACGGCCUCUCGAGAUACCCAACACCUCUCUAACUGUCACCCUAAUAAAAGUUUCAUAAAUUGAAUGCACAUGUUUUAUGUUAAUAGAUACAACUUAAAAUAUGAGUGGUCUACACAUUAGUUAAACUCAAUUGAUAAUCCUUGCGACUAACUUGAUACCUUGAUAAAGUAUCACCUCAACAUAUUACUUUAAUAAAUAAUAGCAUGAACUUCGUUUGAAUCAUAAAUUAGUUUUCUGCACAAUUUGUCCACUGGUAAUUCUGAAACCUUUUCAUGGUUACUUUGUGUUGACUUUACUCUAACUCAUAUAGUCUAAUUUCAAAAGUUACAUUGGAAGGUUAAAAUAAUUUCUCUGCUAUCUUUUUUAUCUUAAAGCAAGCACCAACAAUAUAACAAAGUAAGGCUGUUCAAGAAAAACUGAAAAGCCGAUCAAAAUUGAACUGAAAAAUGAAUCAAACCAACUAAAAAGAGAGACAUGUAUUUGGUUUGAUAAUAUACUGGAAAAAGAUGAACCAAAACGACAUUUAUUUUUAUAGAAGACUAUAAUAAAAAUAAAUGUCAUUUUGGAAGUAAUUAUAAUAAAGGAUUCAUUAUUGUUUAGUUAAAUGCGUGGGUAUAACGUGUAUGAUCACUUUCUUAGCAAGUAUUGUUUAAGUACUUCAAAUCUGUCUUUCAUUUUCACAAGCGAAGAUUUAUUAAACUAAUUGUUAUUUGAUAUUGUUUUAUCAAUAGUUCUUAAAAAGGGCUUAAUGGUUCACGACCACCCUUACAUUAUCUUUAUCAACAACAACAACAACAAAAAAAUAAAAUUUGGGACCACUUUGAAAUUGACACCAUUUGUUCGGUGUACACUCGAACUACUGUUGGUCCUACUAUCCCCCCUAAACUUGGUAUUUUUAAUAGCCUUCACUUGCUAAACACUGACAUGGCAAAGAGCAUGGAUACACUCUCUUUUAGGCACGUGAGAGUGAAGAAAAAGUUGAAAAAUCACUUCCAAGUGAGGUAUCUUGCAACGGUGAAUUGCCAUAGUCAUAUCAUAUACAAUAGUUUAUUUGUUCAAAAUUGUAUAUUUCUUCUUACAUCUUCUUAAUAAACCACACAUAUCUUACCAUAUAUUCAUUUUUUUCAAUUCAAGUCUAUAAAAGAGACUUCACUGAAGUUCUAUUAUUUUAGCCACUUAAAAGGUUUUAGUCAAAAUAAUGGAGUUCCAAGUGUAAACUUUCUUUAUACUUACAAAAAAAAGGGGUAAAUUUUCUUUCUAUUUCUUAUUAAGAGACCAACAACUAUUUAUUUCAUCUGUGUACUUUUUCUUUUUCGGGGAAAAUCUAUAAAACAAAUUUCUAGAGCUCCAUUAUUUUUCACCAAAUAAAAAUAGUUAGCCAAAAUAAUGAACUUUUCAACUAUGUAUUUCUUUUUAGAUGCAAUGAUGAUUUGUUUCAGCUGUGUAUUUCUUCUUUUUCUGUCUACGAGUGUAAAAAAUAAAAAUAUACAAAAAUAAAAAAAAAUAAAAAAAAUAAAACUCUACCAAAAAACAGUUCAGCUGUAGGUAUCAAAUUCAGGGGGAUCUUAAACUAUUAUGCCUCAAUAGAAGUAGAGAAACAUAUUAUUGUUAAGGUUUCAUUUUCAGUUUUACGUUUAUAUAGAAAAAAAAUGGGAUUCAUUUGUUUAUUUAGUAUAAUUUAAAAAAAUUGGCAAGGCUUAAAAGUAUAUAUUGAUGUAACUUAGCUUAAUGAAAGGGAAUAAUUAUCAUCUACUAUGGAGAAAAUUUCUCACAUAAGAAUAUUUCAUAUAUCAUAAAUUCUUUCAUAUUAGUGCAAAUCUUGCUAAACAUUAUAAGUAACAUACAUUAUCAUAUGGAAAAGUUUGUCCAUAACUCUGAUAGAUUGAAUGAACUGGAUUUUAAUUUUAUUUGCCAAGAAAAAACCAAACCAAAGAGCACCCAAGGUGUGGCCUAGUGGUCAAUAAAGUAGUUGAGAACUAUGAGGUCCCAGGUUCAAAACUCACUGGAAACAAAAAACACUAGGUGAUUCUUUCCAUCAGUCCUAGCUUUGGUAGACAGAAUUACCUAAUCCCUAUUGCUGGUGGGAGGUGGCAGGUAUCCCAUAGAAUUAGUCGAGGUGCACGAGAGCUAGCCUGGACACCAUGAUCAUCAAAUAAAUAAAAAAAGCCAAACCAAAAAAGCUAUAUAGUUGGUCUAGUUUUGCUUUUGAUGAAAAUCAAAUCAAACCCCAUGAACAAAUCCUAUUAUAAAGGAAAAUAAAAUAAAAUCAUAACAAAAUAUUUCAUCAUAUAUACGACUUAAAUAUUAAUGCAAAUCAUGCUAAUCUUCAUUUGAUUGUGUCCAUACAUGCAAUUACUUCGACAUUACAAUUACAAAAGAUAAAAGUUGAAGUUAUAGAAGUUACAAACUUGCUUUUCUGUCAUAAUGUAUUUCAUUGUGACUUGUGAGACACUGAGUUCUGAUUAUCUUCUUCGGAACAAUCAGAAGUAUGACUACUUUCACUUUUUGGUGAAAUGUUAUCUUUAAAACUCUCAGUAUGAGGCAUAUCUUGCCUCAUUUUUCCUUGUUGUUCAAGUUCAGCUGCCACCUCCUUCAUGGAUGGCCUUCUCCUUGCAUUAAAAUUUAAGCAUCUCUUGGCAAGUUUGGCCACAGCAGGAAUCACAUGUUCAUCCUCAACUUCUUUUACAAUUUCAGGGUCUACAAUCUCAAUUAUACGAUUUUCUUUCAAUGCUAAUGUGAAACGGAAAGCCAAACCUGGAUCUUCUGGUUGGUUUGAAGUGACAACUCUUUGACUUGUUAGAAGCUCUGCAAGAAUUACACCGAAGGCAUAGACAUCACAUUUGUCUGUAAGUUGACCUGAGCGGAAGUAUUCUGGAUCUAUGUAACCAAAUGUACCCCCUACCAUUGUUGUUAAAUGAGUCUUGUCAACAGACAACAAUCUCGAUAGUCCAAAAUCAGAAACCACUGCUCUAAAAUUUUCGUCUAGUAAUAUGUUGCUUGAUUUUAUAUCUCUGUGAAGAAUGGGAGUAGAAGCACAUGAGUGCAUGUAAGAUAGUGCCCCUGCUAUUUCUGCAGCAAUUCGCACCCGAUGAUCCCACGAUAAUAUUAUUGCUGGGUGCGGAAGAAUCUGAUCAUCCAACUCAGACUUUGAGACAGAAGGGUUAGAACUGUGACUGAGGUUUCCAUGAAUAUGGGAUGACAAGGUUCCAUUCGAGAUGUACUCAUAAACUAAUAAUGGGACUUGAGUUUCUAAGCAACAACCAAGUACCUGUUGUAAACAGUAAACUUAAAUGUUAAAAGUGUGAUCAAGUGCUAGGUUCAAUUGUAUUUUGAGUUAUCUUUGGUUCAUGAGUGACUAAUGAGUUAUCCUAAACUGUUCGCUUAUUAUGGUUGAAGCGAAUAGGAACACGAGUUGAUGUAGUAGCUCAGUGUGUGCGACUGCGUGUGUGUGUAAGUCUAGUGUGUUAUUUUGUAAGAGUAUAGGAGUCUUUCUAAUAUUAUAAGUUCAGUGUGUUAUUUUGUAAGAGUAUAGGAAUCUUUCUAAUAUUAUAAGUUCUCUCUUCAAUCCUCUUUAGGCAUUAUAAAUUUCUCUAUCGUCGAAUUGUGUUGCUCUCUUCUUCCAUUCAUAAUAAAAUGGUAGCAGGAGCCUAGUACAAAAAUCAACAGUACCUUGACAAUGUGUCUGUGAUUUAUUUGGGAGAGUAUGAGUAUCUCAUUUAUAAACUGUCCAAUUUGAUCUUUAUCCACUGCAUUGGACUUCUUCACAGCUACAAUGCUUCCAUCUGAUAACAUUCCUUUGUAAACAGUCCCAGCCCCUCCUUUACCAAGAAUUCGAAUUUCAUUGAAAUUGUCUGUUGCUUUCUCCAACUCCUCCUUCAAAAAGAGCUUUGGCAAAGAGCCACCACUACUUUCUCCAUUUAAGGAAAUACGUUGUCGCAAAAGCAAUCCACCAUUCCUCUUGAAAUACUUUUGCUUAGCUUUGUUUUCUUCCCUCUUCCGGAGCCAUUUGCAUAGCCAAAGACAAACUGCUACCAGGAUCACAAAAAUAAUUGCUGCUCCAAUACCUGCUUGUGAGCAAACCAAUUUCAUCUAAAACAAGCAUAAAUUCAUUUUGAGAAUCUAAGAGAAAGAGCUUUAAAUGCUUAUCCAGGCCCCUUUGUAAUUUUAAAGCAUAUAUUAAGUUGAACUUCUAAGUUUCUAAAGAGCAGUUAGCUAGAAUAAACAUGAAUAGGAUUAUGAAUCAUUUGUUGGGACAGUUCAAAAGGAGUAAUUUGUGUCAAAUAAAAAUUUAUAGAAAGCUUAAGUUAAUCUAACAAAGAAACAAGAGGAGAAAAAAGAAGACAAAGAAGAGAGUUAUACAAUACCGAUGGAGAGUUGUUUAGCUAGCAUAUGUCUCACAUUAUUUGAGUCACAAUGGUAAGUGCCAAGAGUAUUAACACAGCGAGUAUUGUUGGGACAAGGAUUCCUUUUUGGACUGGCACACUCAUCGAUGUCUGUGAAAAUUAACAAGAAGUCAUCAUAAAAACUGACAUUAGUAACUUAGAAAAUAAGUCAUGUUACAUGCUAAAAACAAGUUAAAAUAAAGGGGUACAGUGGGAUAUUGUUAUAUUGUUACUCUCUUUGUUUCAUUUUAUGUCUUAGUUUGAUUUUGCACUAAAUUUAAAAACCUAAAGAAUACUUUUGGAUCUUGUGUUGAACAAAAGGUGCCUAUAACACACUAAGGGGUCAUUUGGUAGAUUCAGUGUUUAGGGGAGCGCAAAGCGGUAAAAAGCGACAAGGCCCCACUUCAUGCUUUAAGCGAAGCGUGAAGCGAAGCACUCGCUUCAUUGAAGUGAAGCACAAUUUAAAAGAAAAAAGACCAAAAUAAAUAGACAAAAUUUAUAAGCAAAAAUUCAUAUUAAAAUACUAGAAAACAGACAUACAAUUGUUGUCCUAUUGGUCUCACUUUUUUCCCAUAUUUUCAUGUUGGGCCAGCCAUUUUUAAUCGCGGAUAAGAUUUAAGAAAACUAAUCAACAUUAUAUUUUUAUCACUAUUAAGAAAAAAUUCAACAACAUUUUAGUCAUUGUUAAGAAACAAAACAAUUUAGCGAUGUAUAUUUUAAUCACUGUGAGGAAAAAAAUUAAGCAACAUAUAAUUUAAAUAAUCAAAGCUAAACAGGGCAAAGGAAAACAGAAUAACGAACAAAGUGGAAAAAAAAUAAAAAUAUCCUAGGCUAGUUGUAGUAGUAGUAGUAGUAAGAAGAAGAAGAGGAAGAACUAGGUAAGUCAUGCCUAUUUUUAUUCUUUAAAAUCGAUCACUUAUUACUUAGAAAAAAUAAAAGCGUUGCUUUUCUCGCUUCACCGCUUCUGGUCGCAUUGCGCUUCAAGCCUAGAAGCGGUCGCUUCUUUUCACAUGCCUCGCUUCAGCCAACUGAAGCGCUGAACCCUCGCUUCACCGCUUAAAGCAAUGAAGCGCUCGCUUUCCUGAACACUGGGUAGAUUGUAUUAGGAAAAAUAGUUCAUGUAUUAUGUAUAGUAUUAUAUAGUACUAUGUUUGGUGGGAAUUUUGGGCCUAUUUAUAAUUAAUGCAUGUAUUAGUUAUACAUGUUAUAUGGUAUUAUUAUAGGGUGUAUAACUAAUACCUUCCAUUUGGUGGUAUUAAUACAUAGGAUUUAAUACCAUGGUUCAUUAUAUGUAAAGACAAAAAUACCCGUCAAAUCCUUUUAAUCAUUUUUGUUUACUUUCUUGAUUUUAUGUUUUAUAUUUGUACUAGUAAAUUUAUUUAAAUAAAUUAGCUUACAAAUUUUAUUAUUUAGAGAGAGUUGUUUGUUGCUAAAUAAAUCUAAUACAAAUCAUUAAAUCAAUACAAUAUUUGAAAUGUGAGUUGUUCAACAUUUACUAAUUCAAAAGGCAAAAUAUAUGGCCACAUGACAUUUAUGAUCUUAAUUGAAUGUAUUACUUAUUGAUAUAUAUGUGGUUUUAUGAUUAUUUGUAUUUUGAACAAUUUAUAAAAUUACAUACAUAUUAAAACUAUAACUUGCCAUUUUGUGUGUAAAAAUAGAUGGUUUAUUCGAUAUUUUAGUAUUGUUUACCGUCUUUUCGGUUUUGAAAGUAGAUGGUCUAUCUUUUUUGAAUUAAAAAUUGACGAUUUGUGAGUGAUCAAUUUAUUAAGGGUUAGAACUGUGACUGAGGUUUCCAUGAACAUGGGAUGACAAGGUUCCAUUCGAGAUGUACUCAUAAACUAAUAAUGGGACUUGAGUUUCUAAGCAACAACCAAGUACCUGUUGUAAACCGUAAACUUAAAUGUUAAAAGUGUGAUCAAGUGCUAGGUUCGAUUCUUGCUAACUUUAAGUUUUUAACAUCAUUUUUUGUUAGUCAAAACUCACUAAAUAUUUUGUUGGUUACUUUUUAAAAUUUUGCACACCCUUCAUAAAAUGUCUGGCUCCGCCACUGUGCAAGUCUAGUGUGUUAUUUUGUAAGAGUAUAGGAGUCUUUCUAAUAUUAUAAGUUCGCUCUUCAAUCCUCUUUAGGCAUUAUAAAUUUCUCUAUCGUCGAAUUGUGUUGCUCUCUUCUUCCAUUCAUAAUAAAAUGGUAGCAGGAGCCUAGUACAAAAAUCAACAGUACCUUGACAAUGUGUCUGUGAUUUAUUUGGGAGAGUAUGAGUAUCUCAUUUAUAAACUGUCCAAUUUGAUCUUUAUCCACUGCAUUGGACUUCUUCACAGCUACAAUGCUUCCAUCUGAUAACAUUCCUUUGUAAACAGUCCCAGCCCCUCCUUUACCAAGAAUUCGAAUUUCAUUGAAAUUGUCUGUUGCUUUCUCCAACUCCUCCUUCAAAAAGAGCUUUGGCAAAGAGCCACCACUACUUUCUCCAUUUAAGGAAAUACGUUGUCGCAAAAGCAAUCCACCAUUCCUCUUGAAAUACUUUUGCUUAGCUUUGUUUUCUUCCCUCUUCCGGAGCCAUUUGCAUAGCCAAAGACAAACUGCUACCAGGAUCACAAAAAUAAUUGCUGCUCCAAUACCUGCUUGUGAGCAAACCAAUUUCAUCUAAAACAAGCAUAAAUUCAUUUUGAGAAUCUAAGAGAAAGAGCUUUAAAUGCUUAUCCAGGCCCCUUUGUAGUUUUAAAGCAUAUAUUAAGUUGAACUUCUAAUUUUCUAAAGAGCAGUUAGCUAGAAUAAACAUGAAUAGGAUUAUGAAUCAUUUGUUGGGACAGUUCAAAGGAGUAAUUUGUGUCAAAUAAAAAUUUAUAGAAAGCUUAAGUUAAUCUAACAAAGAAACAAGAGGAGAAAAAAGAAGACAAAGAAGAGAGUUAUACAAUACCGAUGGAGAGUUGUUUAGCUAGCAUAUGUCUCACAUUAUUUGAGUCACAAUGGUAAGUGCCAAGAGUAUUAACACAGCGAGUAUUGUUGGGACAAGGAUUCGUUUUUGGACUGGCACACUCAUCGAUGUCUGUGAAAAUUAACAAGAAGUCAUUAUAAAAACUGACAUUAGUAACUUAGAAAAUAUAUAAGUCAUGUUACAUGCUAAAAACAAGUUAAAAUAAAGGGGUACAGUGGGAUAUUGUUAUAUUGUUACUCUCUUUGUUUCAUUUUAUGUCUUAGUUUGAUUUUGCACUAAAUUUAAAAACCUAAAGAAUACUUUUGGAUCUUGUGUUGAACAAAAGGUGCCUAUAACACACUAAGGGGUCGUUUGGUAUAUUCAGUGUUUAGGGGAGUGCAAAGCAGUAAAAAGCAACAAGGCCCUGCUUCAUGCUUUAAGUGAAGCGUGAAGCGUGAAGCGUGAAGCGUGAAGCGUGAAGCGAAGCGCUCGCUUCAUUGAAGUGAAGCACAAUUUAAAAGAAAAAAAGACCAAAAUAAAUAGACAAAAUAUAUAAGCAAAAAUUCAUAUUAAAAUACUAGAAAACAGACAUACAAUUGUUGUCCUAUUGGUCUCACUUUUUCCCCCAUAUUUUCAUGUUGGGCUAGCCAUUUUUAAUCGCAGAUAAGAUUUAAGAAAACUAAUCAACAUUAUAUUUUUAUCACUAUUAAGAAAAAAUUCAACAACAUUUUAGUCAUUGUUAAGAAACAAAACAAUUUGGCGAUGUAUAUUUUAAUCACUGUGAGGAAAAAAAUUAAACAACAUAUAAUUUAAAUAAUCAAAGCUAAACAGGGCAAAGGAAAAUAGAAUAACGAACAAAGUGGAAAAAAAAGAAGAAAUAUCCUAGGCUAGUUGUAGUAGUGGUAGUAGUAAGAAGAAGAAGAGGAAGAACUAGGUAAGUCAUGCCUAUUUUUAUUCUUUAAAAUCGAUCACUUAUUACUUAGAAAAAAUAAAAGCAUUGCUUUUCUCGCUUCACCACUUCUGGUCGCAUCGCGCUUCAAGCCCAGAAGUGGUCGCUUCUUUUCACAUGCCUCGCUUCAGCCAACUGAAGCGCUCGCUUUCCUGAACACUGGGUAGAUUGUAUUAGGAAAAAUAGUUCGUGUAUUAUGUAUAGUAUUAUAUAGUACUAUGUUUGGUGGGAAUUUUGGGCCUAUAUAUAAUUAAUGCAUGUAUUAGUUAUACAUGUUAUAUGGUAUUAUUAUAGGGUGUAUAACUAAUACCUUCCAUUUGGUGGUACUAAUAAUACAUAGGAUUUAAUACCAUGGAUCAAUAUAUGUAAAGACAAAAAUACCCGUCAAAUCCUUUUAAUCAUUUUUGUUUACUUUCUUGAUUUUAUGUUUUUAUAUUUGUACUAGUAAAUUUAUUUAAAUAAAAUUAGCUUACAAAUUUUAUUAUUUAGAGAGUAGUUGUUUGUUGCUAAAUAAAUCUAAUACAAAUCAUUAAAUCAAUACAAUAUUUGAAAUGUGAGUUGUUCAACAUUUACUAAUUGAAAAGACAAAUAUAUGGCCACGUGACAUUUGUGAUCUUAAUUGAAUGUAUUAUUUAUUGAUAUAUAUGUGGUUUUUUGAUUAUUUGUAUUUUGAACAAUUUAUAAAAUUGCAUACAUAUUAAAACUAUAACUUGCCAUUUUGUGUGUAAAAAUAGAUGGUUUAUUCGAUAUUUUAGUAUUGUUUACCGUCUUUUCGGUUUUGAAAGUAGAUGGUCUAUCUUUUUUGAAUUAAAAAUUAACGAUUUGUGAGUGAUCAAUUUAUUAGAAUGACAAUUAUUCUCAAAAAAUUUUAUUAGAAUGACAAUUAUUUACCCUCAAAUAAUUCAAGUGAGAAAAUAGCAAACACGGCGACAAAAAAUUGUUCUUUUCCUAGCUAGUUAGAAGGCCCUUGACCCAAUUACAUGUAAUAGAAAAUUGUAUAAUAAUUCAAGGGUACAAUUGGAAAGAAGCUUUUUGUAGAGGUUUACACAAAAAUAGGUGGAAAGCAAUGAACCAGAUAAAAAAUAAUCUCUGUAUUAUUAAUCUAUAGAUUACUAAUCUCUGCAUUAUUAAUCUUUGUAUUGAAUGACCCCUAAAAGUACUUUAAAUCCUGUGAUCUUAGAGAUUCCAUGGCAUUCCUAUAAGGGAGUCUUAUCAAGCAUAACAUAUGAGAAUAUAGGAAUUAAAAACUUACUAAAUAUAGAAAAACAUGAAGCUCCUUGUUGAAACAGACUAAAAACGAAAAUAAGAUACGUAUACACAAGUUAAAUCGCAAAAACAAAAAGAGAAACUGACCAGGGAUUAGUACCUUGGCAUCCAUGAAGGAGGUAAGGGUUGCCUUCAUAACCAGAAGAGCAAUCGCAUCGGUAUCCCCCAGCAGGUCUAGUAGUAUCAUCGAUGCACCUACUAUUCUUUGUACAUGCAUAUUUUGGCAUUCUUGUGGCUUUGUUGCAACUAAGAUUGCCAAUUACCCAGUCCAGCGCCAUCCUUCCUUCAUAAUGAUCAUCUUCUUUGCACUUACCACGUAACUGAGUGAAGUCAAACUCGGAACUGCCCUUUUCCACAAUUAAGUAAUAGGUGCAAUUGCUAGAUGUCCAAGAUGUUUCCGCCGUGUUCAUUGUUUGUAUGUACAUAUUGAAGUCUCUUGGUACUAUUUUUGAUAAUUCAGACUGACAACAACCGUUAUUCCCAGUGCAAUAAGAUGAUGAAACAUUAUAAGUGGAGUUGCCACAGAAAGAAGCACAUUGACUUACAAUGCUGCCUCCACUACCGGUGUCUAAAUCUUUGGCAUAAGCAUAAAUGUCACACCCAAUGGCUACUAAGUUGUUCUUGUUGGAAAUACUGAAAUACUCGUUACUGGUUGCUUGAAGAUAAUCAUUGUAAAUGUUCUUUCCAGAUGAUUUGUUGUAGAGGAAAGGAGUAAAAGUAAUAUAAAGAGUGAUGGAGUCCAUUGAUAUGUGUUGCACAGGCAAACCAUUACCAUGACUAAAAGCAGUAUUGUUAUCGCAGCUCACUUCAAAUGCUUCAUUGAAGUAACACUUUUUUCCUAUUCCAAAUGGAAAAGGAAUGGUUACGUUGCCACAUCGUUCUGGGCAUCCAGGUCUUUGUGAAGAUAAUAUUGCUGAUGAUGACCAUAUUCUUAUAGCUGAAACUUGUGUUGUUUCUUUAGAAAGCAGCCCCGUCAGAAGAAUGAAAAAUGACCACAUGGUUAUCUGCAUCUUCAUGUAUUACUGCCUCAUUCUCUGGUUGAAUCGUAUCUUAUGAUGGCACAAAAUUCUGCAAACAUCAUUAGACUUUUGAAAUAGGCCCUGCUAAGGCUUCCCCACUUCUCGACAAACGAAAAAAGUAAUAACUUUACAAGUGGGAUCCAUAUUAUGAUUUUUAAAUGUUUUGGUCCGGUUAAUAUUUAAUUUGCAUUUUCGAUUCAUCAUUGUUGGAUCGAGCUGGUCUUUUUACGUGGAGUUUCUAACAUCCUAUUCUUAAUUUGAAUAGUGGAGAUAGUGAUUGUAUCUACUGUUUCCCUUUCCAUGCCUCAUUUGAUAUGUUUUACUUGAACCGAGGUAUCCAUUGGAAACAAUCUCUCUAACUUCACAAAGUAGGGGUGAGGUUGCGUACACCCCACCCUCCCCAAACCCCACUUGUGAGAUUAUAUGCUUAUGUUGUUGUUGUUGAGAUCGUGAUUGUAGCUGCAAAAUUUUGUUUUAAGAAAUAGACGGCUUUGUCUUCAAGCCGUCAAUAAAAUUGAGCUAUAAUAUGUGAUUAUGAUUGUACACUGAUGCUUUAGUCCUUUUUACUUAUUGGCAAGCUAAUACACGAUUAUGAUAUUUAGUGCAUUGAUGCACAAGUCUUCAUUUCUUUAUAGUUUGCUAAUAUGUGAUUAUGAUAUAUAGUACAUUGAUGCAGAAGUCUUCUUUACUUUAUAGUGAGCUAAUAUGCGAUUAUAUAUAUAGUGAUUGAUGCAGGAGUCUUCUUUAUGUUACGUCAAGCUAAUAUAUGAUUAUAAUAUAUAGUAUAUUACAUUGAUGCAUAAGUCUUCUUUAUUUUACCGUGAGCUAAUAUGUGAUUAUGAUAUAUAAUGAGUCUUCUUUACUUUAUGUAAAGCUAAUAUGUGAUUAAAAUAUAUAGUGAGUGCUAAUAUGUGAUUAAAAUAUAUAGUGAGUCUUCUUUGCUUUAUGUAAAGCUAAUACUAUAUGAUUAUGAUGUAUAGUAACAUUGAUGUAUAAAUUUUCUUUAUUUUACAGCUUUUUGAUUAUUUUGUGUGGGUGGAACACUAGUCCCUACAAGUCUUACUAUAGUUCAUUCUAUACAAUGGUCGAUUGCCUCCUCCAUUAUUGGCUCAAUUCACAGGCGAAUCUAGAAUAUAGCAUACGGGUUCACAAGAAUUCAAUCACUUCGGUAUUUAUAUCAAUAAUUCUUCUAAAUGUUUACAAAUAUUUAACUAUGAACUCAAUUUUUAUUAUUAUAUUACUUGAAGUUGUUGUAGAAACUGAUAAAUUUUAAAUUUUGGAUUUGGCUAUGACUCCAUAAAUGCUAAAAGUCAAUAACGACCAGGUUUAAUUAUUG
Molecule: long non-coding RNA, 16361 nt
Filed under: Solanum tuberosum (potato)
Lineage: Eukaryota; Viridiplantae; Streptophyta; Magnoliopsida; Solanales; Solanaceae
Description: long non-coding RNA (STUB_LNC006980)
Source: RNAcentral